CGUGUAGGCGGUUUGGUAAGUUGGACGUGAAAGCUCCUGGCUCAACUAGGAGAGGUCGUUCAAUACUGUCAGACUUGAGGAUGGUAGAGGGAGGUGGAAUUCCGGGUGUAGUGGUGAAAUGCGCAGAUAUCCGGAGGAACACCAGUGGCGAAAGCGGCCUCCUGGACCAUUCCUGACGCUCAGACGCGAAAGCUAGGGUAGCAAACG
RNAcentral lists this ribosomal RNA (207 nucleotides) under uncultured bacterium. RNAcentral's name for it is "partial 16S ribosomal RNA". It matches the Rfam family "Bacterial small subunit ribosomal RNA", at positions 568 to 774 of the family's 1533-position model. The record is from RNAcentral.